RNAcentral lists this ribosomal RNA (253 nucleotides) under uncultured bacterium. RNAcentral's name for it is "partial 16S ribosomal RNA". It matches the Rfam family "Bacterial small subunit ribosomal RNA", at positions 524 to 776 of the family's 1533-position model. The record is from RNAcentral.
UACGUAUGGUGCAAGCGUUAUCCGGAUUUACUGGGCGUAAAGGGAGCGCAGGCGGCGCGCCAAGUCUGAUGUGAAACCCCGGGGCUCAACCCCGGGCAUGCAUUGGAAACUGGCGGGCUGGAGUGCCGGAGAGGUAAGCGGAAUUCCUAGUGUAGCGGUGAAAUGCGCAGAUAUUAGGAGGAACACCAGUGGCGAAGGCGGCUUACUGGACGGCAACUGACGCUGAGGCUCGAAAGCGUGGGGAGCAAACAGG